Molecule: ribosomal RNA, 450 nt
Filed under: uncultured bacterium
Lineage: Bacteria
Description: bacterial SSU rRNA
Rfam family: Bacterial small subunit ribosomal RNA
Source: RNAcentral
UCCAGACUCCUACGGGAGGCAGCAGUGGGGAAUAUUGCACAAUGGGGGAAACCCUGAUGCAGCGACGCCGCGUGAGCGAAGAAGUAUUUCGGUAUGUAAAGCUCUAUCAGCAGGGAAGAAAAAAAUGACGGUACCUGAGUGAGAAGCACCGGCUAAAUACGUGCCAGCAGCCGCGGUAAUACGUAUGGUGCAAGCGUUAUCCGGAUUUACUGGGUGUAAAGGGAGCGUAGGCGGCGCGUUAAGUCUGAUGUGAAAACCCGAGGCUCAACCACGGGAGUGCAUUGGAAACUGGCGGGCUGGAGUGCCGGAGAGGUAAGCGGAAUUCCUAGUGUAGCGGUGAAAUGCGUAGAUAUUAGGAGGAACACCAGUGGCGAAGGCGGCUUACUGGACGGCAACUGACGCUGAGGCUCGAAAGCGUGGGGAGCAAACAGGAUUAGAUACCCGCGUAGU